Molecule: ribosomal RNA, 253 nt
Filed under: uncultured bacterium
Lineage: Bacteria
Description: partial 16S ribosomal RNA
Rfam family: Bacterial small subunit ribosomal RNA
Source: RNAcentral
UACGUAGGGUGCAAGCGUUGUUCGGAGUGACUGGGCGUAAAGGGCGCGUAGGCGGGCCUGUAAGUCGGUUGUGAAAUCCCAGGGCUUAACCCUGGAACUGCAGUCGAAACUACAGGUCUUGAAUGCCUGAGAGGUUAGUGGAAUUCUUGGUGUAGGAGUGAAAUCCGUAGAUAUCAAGAGGAACACCGGAGGCGAAGGCGGCUAACUGGUGGUGCAUUGACGCUGAAGCGCGAAAGCGUGGGGAGCAAACAGG